GGUUGGAUGGAGAGGUACUGUAAGAUAUGGAAGUCUCCAAGCACACAAACGUAUGGAUCUUGGAAGACGUGAUGAUGUUGAAUGCUGGUUCUACAUGCUCAUUGAGAU
This 108-nucleotide small RNA is filed under the name Caenorhabditis elegans. RNAcentral's name for it is "Unclassified non-coding RNA C09D4.10". Lineage: Eukaryota; Metazoa; Nematoda; Chromadorea; Rhabditida; Rhabditidae. The record is from RNAcentral.